This 481-nucleotide ribosomal RNA is filed under the name uncultured bacterium. RNAcentral's name for it is "partial 16S ribosomal RNA". It matches the Rfam family "Bacterial small subunit ribosomal RNA", at positions 30 to 506 of the family's 1533-position model. The record is from RNAcentral.
AUUGAACGCUGGCGGCAUGCCUUACACAUGCAAGUCGAACGGUAACGGGCCUUCGGGUGCCGACGAGUGGCGAACGGGUGAGUAAUACAUCGGAACGUGCCCGAUCGUGGGGGAUAACGAGGCGAAAGCUUUGCUAAUACCGCAUACGAUCUACGGAUGAAAGCAGGGGACCGCAAGGCCUUGCGCGGACGGAGCGGCCGAUGGCAGAUUAGGUAGUUGGUGGGAUAAAAGCUUACCAAGCCGACGAUCUGUAGCUGGUCUGAGAGGAUGAUCAGCCACACUGGGACUGAGACACGGCCCAGACUCCUACGGGAGGCAGCAGUGGGGAAUUUUGGACAAUGGGCGCAAGCCUGAUCCAGCCAUGCCGCGUGCAGGAUGAAGGCCUUCGGGUUGUAAACUGCUUUUGUACGGAACGAAAAGCCUUCUUUUAAUACAGGAGGGUCAUGACGGUACCGUAAGAAUAAGCACCGGCUAACUGCGU